AGAGGAGCUUGCUUUUCUUAGCUUAGUGGCGGACGGGUGAGUAACGCGUGGGUAACCUGCCUCAUACAGGGGGAUAACAUUUGGAAACAGAUGCUAAUACCGCAUAAGAUUACAGUACCGCAUGAUACAGUGAUCAAAGGAGCAAUCCGCUGAAAGAUGGGCUCGCGUCCGAUUAGAUAGUUGGUGAGGUAACGGCCCACCAAGGCAACGAUCAGUAGCCGGCCUGAGAGGAAGGUCCCCACAUUGGAACUGAGACACGGUCCAAACUCC
RNAcentral lists this ribosomal RNA (270 nucleotides) under uncultured Eubacteriales bacterium. RNAcentral describes it as "uncultured Clostridiales bacterium partial 16S ribosomal RNA". It matches the Rfam family "Bacterial small subunit ribosomal RNA", at positions 72 to 339 of the family's 1533-position model. Lineage: Bacteria; Bacillati; Bacillota; Clostridia; Eubacteriales. The record is from RNAcentral.